Molecule: ribosomal RNA, 2385 nt
Filed under: Mycobacterium tuberculosis
Lineage: Bacteria; Bacillati; Actinomycetota; Actinomycetes; Mycobacteriales; Mycobacteriaceae
Description: bacterial LSU rRNA
Rfam family: Bacterial large subunit ribosomal RNA
Source: RNAcentral
UGGUGAUGGCGUGCCUUUUGAAGAAUGAGCCUGCGAGUCAGGGACAUGUCGCAAGGUUAACCCGUGUGGGGUAGCCGCAGCGAAAGCGAGUCUGAAUAGGGCGACCCACACGCGCAUACGCGCGUGUGAAUAGUGGCGUGUUCUGGACCCGAAGCGGAGUGAUCUACCCAUGGCCAGGGUGAAGCGCGGGUAAGACCGCGUGGAGGCCCGAACCCACUUAGGUUGAAGACUGAGGGGAUGAGCUGUGGGUAGGGGUGAAAGGCCAAUCAAACUCCGUGAUAGCUGGUUCUCCCCGAAAUGCAUUUAGGUGCAGCGUUGCGUGGUUCACCGCGGAGGUAGAGCUACUGGAUGGCCGAUGGGCCCUACUAGGUUACUGACGUCAGCCAAACUCCGAAUGCCGUGGUGUAAAGCGUGGCAGUGAGACGGCGGGGGAUAAGCUCCGUACGUCGAAAGGGAAACAGCCCAGAUCGCCGGCUAAGGCCCCCAAGCGUGUGCUAAGUGGGAAAGGAUGUGCAGUCGCAAAGACAACCAGGAGGUUGGCUUAGAAGCAGCCACCCUUGAAAGAGUGCGUAAUAGCUCACUGGUCAAGUGAUUGUGCGCCGAUAAUGUAGCGGGGCUCAAGCACACCGCCGAAGCCGCGGCACAUCCACCUUGUGGUGGGUGUGGGUAGGGGAGCGUCCCUCAUUCAGCGAAGCCACCGGGUGACCGGUGGUGGAGGGUGGGGGAGUGAGAAUGCAGGCAUGAGUAGCGACAAGGCAAGUGAGAACCUUGCCCGCCGAAAGACCAAGGGUUCCUGGGCCAGGCCAGUCCGCCCAGGGUGAGUCGGGACCUAAGGCGAGGCCGACAGGCGUAGUCGAUGGACAACGGGUUGAUAUUCCCGUACCCGUGUGUGGGCGCCCGUGACGAAUCAGCGGUACUAACCACCCAAAACCGGAUCGAUCACUCCCCUUCGGGGGUGUGGAGUUCUGGGGCUGCGUGGGAACUUCGCUGGUAGUAGUCAAGCGAAGGGGUGACGCAGGAAGGUAGCCGUACCAGUCAGUGGUAACACUGGGGCAAGCCGGUAGGGAGAGCGAUAGGCAAAUCCGUCGCUCACUAAUCCUGAGAGGUGACGCAUAGCCGGUUGAGGCGAAUUCGGUGAUCCUCUGCUGCCAAGAAAAGCCUCUAGCGAGCACACACACGGCCCGUACCCCAAACCGACACAGGUGGUCAGGUAGAGCAUACCAAGGCGUACGAGAUAACUAUGGUUAAGGAACUCGGCAAAAUGCCCCCGUAACUUCGGGAGAAGGGGGACCGGAAUAUCGUGAACACCCUUGCGGUGGGAGCGGGAUCCGGUCGCAGAAACCAGUGAGGAGCGACUGUUUACUAAAAACACAGGUCCGUGCGAAGUCGCAAGACGAUGUAUACGGACUGACGCCUGCCCGGUGCUGGAAGGUUAAGAGGACCCGUUAACCCGCAAGGGUGAAGCGGAGAAUUUAAGCCCCAGUAAACGGCGGUGGUAACUAUAACCAUCCUAAGGUAGCGAAAUUCCUUGUCGGGUAAGUUCCGACCUGCACGAAUGGCGUAACGACUUCUCAACUGUCUCAACCAUAGACUCGGCGAAAUUGCACUACGAGUAAAGAUGCUCGUUACGCGCGGCAGGACGAAAAGACCCCGGGACCUUCACUACAACUUGGUAUUGAUGUUCGGUACGGUUUGUGUAGGAUAGGUGGGAGACUGUGAAACCUCGACGCCAGUUGGGGCGGAGUCGUUGUUGAAAUACCACUCUGAUCGUAUUGGGCAUCUAACCUCGAACCCUGAAUCGGGUUUAGGGACAGUGCCUGGCGGGUAGUUUAACUGGGGCGGUUGCCUCCUAAAAUGUAACGGAGGCGCCCAAAGGUUCCCUCAACCUGGACGGCAAUCAGGUGGCGAGUGUAAAUGCACAAGGGAGCUUGACUGCGAGACUUACAAGUCAAGCAGGGACGAAAGUCGGGAUUAGUGAUCCGGCACCCCCGAGUGGAAGGGGUGUCGCUCAACGGAUAAAAGGUACCCCGGGGAUAACAGGCUGAUCUUCCCCAAGAGUCCAUAUCGACGGGAUGGUUUGGCACCUCGAUGUCGGCUCGUCGCAUCCUGGGGCUGGAGCAGGUCCCAAGGGUUGGGCUGUUCGCCCAUUAAAGCGGCACGCGAGCUGGGUUUAGAACGUCGUGAGACAGUUCGGUCUCUAUCCGCCGCGCGCGUCAGAAACUUGAGGAAACCUGUCCCUAGUACGAGAGGACCGGGACGGACGAACCUCUGGUGCACCAGUUGUCCCGCCAGGGGCACCGCUGGAUAGCCACGUUCGGUCAGGAUAACCGCUGAAAGCAUCUAAGCGGGAAACCUUCUCCAAGAUCAGGUUUCUCACCCACUUGG